RNAcentral lists this non-coding RNA (136 nucleotides) under Nitrobacter hamburgensis. Its description in RNAcentral is "TPP sequence". It matches the Rfam family "TPP riboswitch aptamer (THI element)". From Rfam's summary of the family: Vitamin B(1) in its active form thiamin pyrophosphate (TPP) is an essential coenzyme that is synthesised by coupling of pyrimidine and thiazole moieties in bacteria. The record is from RNAcentral. Lineage: Bacteria; Pseudomonadati; Pseudomonadota; Alphaproteobacteria; Hyphomicrobiales; Nitrobacteraceae. RNAcentral also lists the same sequence under 1 other name.
GGGUGUUCCGAGGGGUGCUCCGUCAGGGAGCUGAGAUACCGCAAGCUCGCAAUCCGAAGACGGAUUGCAGGACCGCGGUGACCCUUUGAACCUGAUCCGGGUCAUGCCGGCGAAGGGACAGGGAUGUUUCAGAAUA